RNAcentral lists this ribosomal RNA (491 nucleotides) under uncultured bacterium. RNAcentral's name for it is "partial 16S ribosomal RNA". It matches the Rfam family "Bacterial small subunit ribosomal RNA", at positions 29 to 506 of the family's 1533-position model. The record is from RNAcentral.
AGUGAACGCUGGCGGUAGGCCUAACACAUGCAAGUCGAACGGCAGCACAGUAAGAGCUUGCUCUUACGGGUGGCGAGUGGCGGACGGGUGAGGAAUACAUCGGAAUCUACUUUUUCGUGGGGGAUAACGUAGGGAAACUUACGCUAAUACCGCAUACGACCUACGGGUGAAAGCAGGGGAUCUUCGGACCUUGCGCGAUUGAAUGAGCCGAUGUCGGAUUAGCUAGUUGGCGGGGUAAAGGCCCACCAAGGCGACGAUCCGUAGCUGGUCUGAGAGGAUGAACAGCCAAACUGGAAGUGGAAAAGGGUCCAGCCCCCUAGGGGGGGCAGGAGGGGGGAAUAUUGGAAAAUGGGGGCAAGCCUGAUCCAGCCAAACCGGGUGGGGGAAGAAGGCCUGGGGGUUGUAAAGCCCUUUUGUGGGGAAAAAAAAGCAGCAGGUUAAAACCCCGCUGUUCUGACGGUACCAAAAAAAUAAGCACCGGCUAACUGCGU